RNAcentral lists this ribosomal RNA (503 nucleotides) under Geotrichum candidum. RNAcentral describes it as "partial small subunit ribosomal RNA". The stretch from base 1 to 384 matches the Rfam family "Bacterial small subunit ribosomal RNA", at positions 996 to 1375 of the family's 1533-position model. Lineage: Eukaryota; Fungi; Ascomycota; Dipodascomycetes; Dipodascales; Dipodascaceae. The record is from RNAcentral.
CUUACAUUUUUAGUAUAAGUCGCAAUGCGACCUACAAGUGUUACAUAGCUGUCUUCAGUUCAUGCCGUAAGGUUUUAGGUUAAGUCCAUUAAUGAACGAAAUCCUACAAUUAUAUUAAUAUAAUUAAUUUAUUAUGAUAAUUAUUUAUCUAAUAUUAAGGAUUAAGACAAGUCCUCAUGACCUUAAUAAAAUGGGCUAUAUACGUGAUACAAAUAUACAUACAAAAUCAAGUAAUAUAGUGAUAUAUAACAAAUGAUAUAAAAUGUAUAAUUUAUUAAUUAAUUUAUUAAUUAUAUUUAAUAUGAAUCAUAUACUGUAAUUCGUAUAUGUGAAAUAGGAAUUGUGAGUAAUACGUAAUUAAGUACAUUACGGUGAAACAUUCUCUUAUGCGUACUAAUCACUCAUCAUUCGCUUGAAAUAUUUAAAUACUAAAAUAUAUAUAUUAUUUAAGGGCGACGCUCUCUAUAAUUAAUAUAUAUUAAGUACUGAAUUUGACAAGUGAG